This is a long non-coding RNA of Thalassophryne amazonica, 164 nucleotides long. RefSeq lists it as uncharacterized. Lineage: Eukaryota; Metazoa; Chordata; Actinopteri; Batrachoidiformes; Batrachoididae. The record is from RefSeq and is a predicted model, not a curated record. The transcript has 3 exons.
UGUUAAUAUUUGCCAUGUUCACAUUUUUCACAAAUUCUCUAAAUGGUCCCCAUAUCUCUUCAAACAUUGCCAGUUUCCCUUUCCUAAUACACGUAAUCUUUUCUAGAGGAAAAACUAUGAGCAUUUGUUUCACCAAGUAUGCAAAACUGGGCCUGUCUUUUUCC